CACGUAGUUAGCCGGGGCUUCUUAGUCAGGUACCGUCAUUUUCCUCCCUGCUGAUAGAGCUUUACAUACCGAAAUACUUCCUCACUCACGCGGCGCCGCUGCAUCAGGGUUUCCCCCAUUGUGCAAUAUUCCCCACUGCUGCCUCCCGUAGGAGUUUGGGCCGUGUCUCAGUCCCAAUGUGGCCGUCCACCCUCUCAGGCCGGCUACUGAUCGUAGGCUUGGUAGGCCUCUACCCUGCCAACUACCUAAUCAGACGCGGGCCCAUCUUACACCACCGGAGUUUUUACCACCCUGCCAUGCGGCAAUGUGGUCUUAUGCGGUAUUAGCAGUCAUUUCUAACUGUUAUCCCCCUGUGUAAGGCAGGUUGCCCACGCGUUACUCACCCGUCCGCCGCUCAGUCACUUCCUCGUCCCUCCGAAGAGUUCUAAUGAAGUGCUUCGCUCGACUUGCAUGUGUUAGGCACGCCGCCAGCGUUCAUCCUGAGCCAGGAUCAAACUCU
RNAcentral lists this ribosomal RNA (499 nucleotides) under uncultured Lachnospiraceae bacterium. RNAcentral describes it as "partial 16S ribosomal RNA". The record is from RNAcentral. Lineage: Bacteria; Bacillati; Bacillota; Clostridia; Lachnospirales; Lachnospiraceae.